AUGCAAGUCGAGCGAGGCGGGUAGCAAUACCCAGUCGAGCGGCGAACGGGUGAGUAACGCGUGGAUUAUCUACCCUGAGGUGGGGGAUAACCCGGCGAAAGCCGGGCUAAUACCGCAUAACAUCGAAAGAUCAAAGGGGGAGCAAUCUCCCGCCAUUGGAGGAGUCCGCGUCCUGAUUAGCUAGUUGGUAGGGUAAUGGCCUACCAAGGCGACGAUCGGUAGCCGGCCUGAGAGGGUGAUCGGCCACACUGGAACUGAGACACGGUCCAGACUCCUACGGGAGGCAGCAGUGGGGAAUUUUGCGCAAUGGGCGAAAGCCUGACGCAGCAACGCCGCGUGGAGGAUGACGGUCCUUGGAUCGUAAACUCCUGUCAGCAGGGAAAAAGGGGACCGGGCUCAUACCCCGGUUCAUUGAUUGUACCUGCAGAGGAAGCCCCGGNUAACUCUGUGCCAGCAGCCGCGGUAAUACGUAGGGACCAAGCGUUGUUCGGAUUUACUGGGCGUAAAGGGUGCGUAGGCGGUUUAUC
Molecule: ribosomal RNA, 527 nt
Filed under: uncultured bacterium
Lineage: Bacteria
Description: bacterial SSU rRNA
Rfam family: Bacterial small subunit ribosomal RNA
Source: RNAcentral